AAGAACUUAGUUAAAGAUAAAAUAUAGGCCUGUCAGACCUAAGAUGCGCAAAGCAUUUCUUU
RNAcentral lists this transfer RNA (62 nucleotides) under Tullbergia mixta. Its description in RNAcentral is "tRNA-Asp". The record is from RNAcentral. Lineage: Eukaryota; Metazoa; Arthropoda; Collembola; Poduromorpha; Tullbergiidae.